RNAcentral lists this non-coding RNA (204 nucleotides) under Flavobacterium enshiense DK69. RNAcentral also lists the same sequence under 1 other name. The record is from RNAcentral. Lineage: Bacteria; Pseudomonadati; Bacteroidota; Flavobacteriia; Flavobacteriales; Flavobacteriaceae.
UAUUUGCCUUCGAAUUUUGGUUGUUGUUUUAGGAAUUUUCAAACAACAUUAAAAGGGAAUCAGGUGAAAUGCCUGAGCUGUACCCGCAACUGUAAGCUAUCAAGCUUGUUAUUAUCUACAAUACCACUGUCUCGUUUAAGUUAGAGAUGGGAAGGUGAAUAACAAGACGCAAGCCAGGAGACCUGCCUAAGUUCAUCAAUAAAA